Alligator mississippiensis (American alligator) is the source of this 677-nucleotide long non-coding RNA. RefSeq lists it as uncharacterized. The transcript has 3 exons. The record is from RefSeq and is a predicted model, not a curated record. NCBI's taxonomy places the organism in Eukaryota, Metazoa, Chordata, Crocodylia, Alligatoridae.
ACACCUUGGCAAUACAGGGUGACAUUCAGAGUUCCCUCUAAGGUGCACACAUGCAUGGCCGUACACAGGUAAAAGUUUGGCUGCACACAAACUUUUUCAGGCCCUGCACCUGCCAGGAAUGGAGCUGGGCUGCAGCGUGGGACACUUAGUAAAGUUGAAGACAAGACCUGAUCUGAAGACCUUCCACCUAAGCAGACAACAAGGAAUAUGAGAUGGAAGAAAAAAGAACUCCCAGUGAAGCCAGUGUAUGCUUGAGGGACUUGAAGAACAAAGGAUUGGACCUUCCCAUCCACUAGAAGCAUUUCUGCAGGUACCAGAGUUACAGCACAGCAGCUGAAGUGUGAUCUAAGACCGUUUGUGAGCACUGCAAAAAAACCUGUAAGACACAAAUACUAUCUUUCAUUGUAUUUGAGCAUAUUAUGCUUUGCAUUAAAAUCACAUGAGUAGGAAAUUGAUAUGCUUUCUAAUUAAUGGGAGUAAGGAUAAAUUCUCUGCAAUCUAAAAAGGUGCCUUAUCACAGCUUAAGGAAAACAUCAUUUUAAAUUAUAAAAGCUAGAAUGUUGAAACAGUCCUAUGUACUGGUCUAUAUACAUUUGAUAUUCAGAAGGAGCAGAGGAGAUGUAGCUGAGCAGAGCCCUCAGCUCUUUAAAUUAAUAAAAUAUUAAUUCAUGGGUAAA